This 28-nucleotide non-coding RNA is filed under the name Mus musculus (house mouse). Lineage: Eukaryota; Metazoa; Chordata; Mammalia; Rodentia; Muridae. The record is from RNAcentral.
UGAGAAUAGCCCAGAGAGUGUUUGACAA